ACAGCCGGACCCCUGCAGAACCGCUACAGCCGACGCAUAAUAACAAAGAGUCCCUUUAAACUGGAGCAGAAUUUUUCUCCUUGUCACCGGCAAUAAUUAUUCCGCUCAACGCCGGGUCCUUUGUCUCCCUGUGCAGCGCGAGGGAAACAAAGAGCCGGAGCGAUGGAGGGAAUCGUAAGCGCCACUGGGAUGCAGGAAAAGUUCAGCAGCCCGGAACCAGGUGGUUGUUUGGGAACAAAGUGCCAGGACCGUUCAUAGCAGCAAUACCUCACCGCGGCAGCACACACUGUAUCUCUGGGCUGCAAGAGGUGGUGUAGGAAUACCUGGAGGAGCAAAGCGGGUCUGCUUAUGGAGCAAACAUCUUUCUCAGCAGCCUCUGGCAGGCAGAGCAGCUCCAGUCGCCCCUAGCUCCUGCCUCCCUUCACCUGCGAUGCUGGGAACUUAUUUUCUGGGAAAACAGCUUGUUUCUUGGGUUGUCUUUUUGUCCUUUUGCCAGCAAGAUUAUAUUUUUACUUUAUACCUAAUGACCAUUUUGUUCUUUCUUUCUGCAAUUUCUCAGUAUCUGUAGGUGAGAGAAAUAUGUU
Pezoporus flaviventris is the source of this 584-nucleotide long non-coding RNA. RefSeq lists it as uncharacterized. The transcript has 3 exons. NCBI's taxonomy places the organism in Eukaryota, Metazoa, Chordata, Aves, Psittaciformes, Psittacidae. The record is from RefSeq and is a predicted model, not a curated record.